RNAcentral lists this ribosomal RNA (253 nucleotides) under uncultured bacterium. Its description in RNAcentral is "partial 16S ribosomal RNA". It matches the Rfam family "Bacterial small subunit ribosomal RNA", at positions 524 to 776 of the family's 1533-position model. The record is from RNAcentral.
UACGAAGGGGGCUAGCGUUGCUCGGAAUCACUGGGCGUAAAGGGUGCGUAGGCGGGUCUUUAAGUCAGAGGUGAAAUCCUGGAGCUCAACUCCAGAACUGCCUUUGAUACUGAGGAUCUUGAGUCCGGGAGAGGUGAGUGGAACUGCGAGUGUAGAGGUGAAAUUCGUAGAUAUUCGCAAGAACACCAGUGGCGAAGGCGGCUCACUGGCCCGGUACUGACGCUGAGGUGCGAAAGCGUGGGGAGCAAACAGG